This is a non-coding RNA of Pelobates cultripes (western spadefoot toad), 237 nucleotides long. The record is from the annotation of a GenBank genome assembly. NCBI's taxonomy places the organism in Eukaryota, Metazoa, Chordata, Amphibia, Anura, Pelobatidae.
CUUAGAGAUAGAGAUACAUUUUAAAGCAGAUACACCAUGUUGUUUGUUUUGAUGACGAGUUGGAUAUAGAAUGGAAUUAAGAGCUUUCGUGCUAUGGUGUUUGGUUGAUGGGGAUGAUAUUCAGUAGACCUGGAGAUUGUUUUCACCGCAAAGUGAUUUUUAUUAACAGAUUAAAUGACAAGUGACCAAUAAAUGGAAAAACAUCUAAUAUGAUUGUAGUGGGACACCGCCUCUAAG